Molecule: long non-coding RNA, 482 nt
Organism: Papaver somniferum (opium poppy)
Lineage: Eukaryota; Viridiplantae; Streptophyta; Magnoliopsida; Ranunculales; Papaveraceae
Exons: 2
Source: RefSeq, a predicted model, not a curated record
UCACUUCUUCAGUGUUCUUCAGUAUUCGAUCCCUUUCUUUCACAACAACAAUUCUCUCCUCCAUCUUUUCAGUUUCUUCUUCACCAUCAGAUCUAUUCUUCCUUCAUCUUCAUCGCCAUUAGUACCCCCACUACCGUACAACACUAUCACCACCACUGUUAUUCUUUCAAUUCAAUUUGGAUUUGAAAUCGAAAUUAAGUGUUGCAUCUCUCCCAAUGAAAUUGGAUUUUAAAAACAAACAAACAUAAUUUCUAUUUCAAACCCAAUUUUUAUCGUUACGAAGGAGAAACGAUGAGUAGUUUGCAGAGAAACAAUCUCGACAUCAAACAAUUUUCGAUUUCUAUUUGAAACAAUUUUUGAUUUCUUCAUCAGAUUUUAUGACGCGGUCCAGUUAGAUGGAUUACAAGUACGCUCUUCUAAUACAGAAUGGAGUGUCGUCAUAGUCCUAGAAUACAAGCUCGUCUUCAGAUGGAAGCUGAGAA